RNAcentral lists this transfer RNA (71 nucleotides) under Myotis brandtii (Brandt's bat). It matches the Rfam family "tRNA". Rfam says of the family: Transfer RNA (tRNA) molecules are approximately 80 nucleotides in length. Their secondary structure includes four short double-helical elements and three loops (D, anti-codon, and T loops). Further hydrogen bonds mediate the characteristic L-shaped molecular structure. tRNAs have two regions of fundamental functional importance: the anti-codon, which is responsible for specific mRNA codon recognition, and the 3' end, to which the tRNAs corresponding amino acid is attached (by aminoacyl-tRNA synthetases). tRNAs cope with the degeneracy of the genetic code in two manners: having more than one tRNA (with a specific anti-codon) for a particular amino acid; and 'wobble' base-pairing, i.e. permitting non-standard base-pairing at the 3rd anti-codon position. Lineage: Eukaryota; Metazoa; Chordata; Mammalia; Chiroptera; Vespertilionidae. The record is from Rfam by way of RNAcentral.
GCUGGCAUGGCUCAGUGGUUGAGCGUCAACCUAUAGACCAGGAGGUCUGGGUUCGAUUCCCAGUCUGGGUA